GCCUGUAAGACUGGGAUAACUCCGGGAAACCGGGGCUAAUACCGGAUGGUUGUCUGAACCGCAUGGUUCAGACAUAAAAGGUGGCUUCGGCUACCACUUACAGAUGGACCCGCGGCGCAUUAGCUAGUUGGUGAGGUAACGGCUCACCAAGGCGACGAUGCGUAGCCGACCUGAGAGGGUGAUCGGCCACACUGGGACUGAGACACGGCCCAGACUCCUACGGGAGGCAGCAGUAGGGAAUCUUCCGCAAUGGACGAAAGUCUGACGGAGCAACGCCGCGUGAGUGAUGAAGGUUUUCGGAUCGUAAAGCUCUGUUGUUAGGGAAGAACAAGUGCCGUUCAAAUAUUUGCGGCACCUUGACGGUACCUAACCAGAAAGCCACGGCUAACUACGUGCCAGCAGCCGCGGUAAUACGUAGGUGGCAAGCGUUGUCCGGAAUUAUUGGGCGUAAAGGGCUCGCAGGCGGUUUCUUAAGUCUGAUGUGAAAGCCCCCGGCUCAA
This 500-nucleotide ribosomal RNA is filed under the name Bacillus amyloliquefaciens. RNAcentral describes it as "bacterial SSU rRNA". It matches the Rfam family "Bacterial small subunit ribosomal RNA", at positions 128 to 612 of the family's 1533-position model. Lineage: Bacteria; Bacillati; Bacillota; Bacilli; Caryophanales; Bacillaceae. The record is from RNAcentral.